RNAcentral lists this ribosomal RNA (253 nucleotides) under uncultured bacterium. RNAcentral's name for it is "partial 16S ribosomal RNA". It matches the Rfam family "Bacterial small subunit ribosomal RNA", at positions 524 to 776 of the family's 1533-position model. The record is from RNAcentral.
GACGUAGGGUGCGAGCGUUGUCCGGAUUUAUUGGGCGUAAAGAGCUCGUAGGCGGCUCGUCGCGUCGACUGUGAAAACUCGGGGCUUAACCCUGGGCCUGCAGUCGAUACGGGCGGGCUAGAGUUCGGUAGGGGAGACUGGAAUUCCUGGUGUAGCGGUGAAAUGCGCAGAUAUCAGGAGGAACACCGGUGGCGAAGGCGGGUCUCUGGGCCGAUACUGACGCUGAGGAGCGAAAGCGUGGGGAGCGAACAGG